CCUACGGGCUGCUGCAGUGGGGAAUAUUGGACAAUGGGGGGAACCCUGAUCCAGCGACGCCGCGUGAGUGAAGAAGUAUUUCGGUAUGUAAAGCUCUAUCAGCAGGGAAGAAAGAAAUGACGGUACCUGACUAAGAAGCCCCGGCUACCUACGUGCCAGCAGCCGCGGUAAUACGUAGGGGGCAAGCGUUAUCCGGAUUUACUGGGUGUAAAGGGAGCGUAGACGGCGAUGCAAGUCUGAAGUGAAAGGCGGGGGCCCAACCCCCGGACUGCUUUGGAAACUGUAUGGCUGGAGUGCAGGGGAGGUGAGUGGAAUUCCUAGUGUAGCGGUGAAAUGCGUAGAUAUUAGGAGGAACACCAGAGGCGAAGGCGACUCACUGGACUGUAACUGACGCUGAGGCUCGAAAGCGUGGGGAGCAAACAGGAUUAGAUACCCCUGUAGUC
Molecule: ribosomal RNA, 443 nt
Filed under: uncultured bacterium
Lineage: Bacteria
Description: partial 16S ribosomal RNA
Rfam family: Bacterial small subunit ribosomal RNA
Source: RNAcentral